UGAGUAAAAGGGAACAGUAAUAUCUUCUA
RNAcentral lists this non-coding RNA (29 nucleotides) under Rattus norvegicus (Norway rat). Lineage: Eukaryota; Metazoa; Chordata; Mammalia; Rodentia; Muridae. The record is from RNAcentral.